CAGUAGCCACGGGAAUACGAAGGGGGCUAGCGUUGUUCGGAAUUACUGGGCGUAAAGCGCACGUAGGCGGAUACUUAAGUUAGGGGUGAAAUCCCGGGGCUCAACCCUGGAACUGCCUUUAAUACUGGGUAUCUAGAGUAUGGUAGAGGUGAGUGGAAUUCCGAGUGUAGAGGUGAAAUUCGUAGAUAUUCGGAGGAACACCAGUGGCGAAGGCGGCUCACUGGACCAUUACUGACGCUCAGGUGCGAAAGCGUGGGGAGCAAACAGGAUUAGAUACCCCAGUAGUCCCUGUCUCUUAUAC
This 301-nucleotide ribosomal RNA is filed under the name uncultured bacterium. RNAcentral's name for it is "partial 16S ribosomal RNA". It matches the Rfam family "Bacterial small subunit ribosomal RNA", at positions 509 to 807 of the family's 1533-position model. The record is from RNAcentral.